RNAcentral lists this ribosomal RNA (253 nucleotides) under uncultured bacterium. RNAcentral describes it as "partial 16S ribosomal RNA". It matches the Rfam family "Bacterial small subunit ribosomal RNA", at positions 524 to 776 of the family's 1533-position model. The record is from RNAcentral.
GACGAAGGUGGCGAGCGUUGUUCGGAAUCACUGGGCUUAAAGCGCACGUAGGCGGCCUGUUAAGCGCUUUGUGAAACCCCUCGGCUCAACCGAGGAACCGCUUGGCGUACUGGCAGGCUUGAGGCAUGUAUAGGCGCGUGGAACUCUUGGUGGAGCGGUGAAAUGCGUAGAUAUCAAGAGGAACGCCGGAGGCGAAAGCGAUGCGCUGGGCAUGUCCUGACGCUGAGGUGCGAAAGCCAGGGGAGCAAACGGG